RNAcentral lists this transfer RNA (73 nucleotides) under Acidobacteriota bacterium. RNAcentral's name for it is "Acidobacteria bacterium (groundwater metagenome) tRNA-Phe". It matches the Rfam family "tRNA". From Rfam's summary of the family: Transfer RNA (tRNA) molecules are approximately 80 nucleotides in length. Their secondary structure includes four short double-helical elements and three loops (D, anti-codon, and T loops). Further hydrogen bonds mediate the characteristic L-shaped molecular structure. tRNAs have two regions of fundamental functional importance: the anti-codon, which is responsible for specific mRNA codon recognition, and the 3' end, to which the tRNAs corresponding amino acid is attached (by aminoacyl-tRNA synthetases). tRNAs cope with the degeneracy of the genetic code in two manners: having more than one tRNA (with a specific anti-codon) for a particular amino acid; and 'wobble' base-pairing, i.e. permitting non-standard base-pairing at the 3rd anti-codon position. RNAcentral also lists the same sequence under 6 other names. The record is from RNAcentral. Lineage: Bacteria; Pseudomonadati; Acidobacteriota.
GCCGGGAUAGCUCAGUUGGUAGAGCGGUAGACUGAAAAUCUGCGCGUCCGUGGUUCAAUUCCGCGUCCCGGCA